UAUUAUGCAGAUAAUAGUUAGAACUAGAGGUCUUGGUCGAGCUUUAGACUGAUCAAUAGGAAAAGUCUUGGGGAGGAGAGACGGGAGUGACGAUGAUGCCCCCAGCGGUGAAGGCCUACUGCAUCAGCCCGUAGAUAGCGACAACAAGAGCGUGUUGUCGAGGAUCCUCCUACGGCCACAGAGAAAUUGAACGAAGAGCAGUCAGAAGCACCGGUUGAAGAAGCUGUGACUAAUGUUGAGGGUUUUCCAGGAGGAUCCCAUGACACAUUAAUUCUCACAGAUUUUGAAAAUCACAUUGCUUUGGAGUCUGGAAUGGAGACGUAUGUAAUUUUUUAAAAACAUAAAGAACGUAGUUUACUAGUUAAUAAUUUUUUUACAUCAUCAAUAUUAUUGUUUGCAGGAACGUCUUGAGCUGAAGCUAUCUUCCCAUGGAAGGAAGAUGGCUAAGUACGGGAGGCCUGCUCCAGAUAUUGAAGGCCUUGUGGCGGUCAGUGGACUAAGUCCUUUGAUCGCCUAUUCCUUAGAUACGGGCGAUCAGAGACUAAUGUCUUCUUUUGUGGAACACCGACAUAAGGAAACUAGUAGUUUCCAUUUGCCCGUCGGAGAGGUGACUAUCACCUUGGAUGACGUUGCGUCAUUGCUACAUCUAUCUGUUGUAGGGGAGUUCCACAACUUCGAGCUACUUCAUGUCGAUGACGCUGUUGAAAUGUUGGUGGAAUUACUCGAGGUCAACGCUACAGAGGCGAGAGCUGAGACGAUUCAGUGUCAUGGCUCUUAUGUUCAACUAUCGCUGCUGCGAGACGUGUAUCAGCUAAAGAUCGAGACAUGUCAUUGGAUCAUAGCAGCGCGAGCGUAUUUGUUGCAUCUUCUUGGAUGCACACUCUUUGCUAACAAGAGUGUCACACACGUGCACGUGAUAUUCUUGGAUACACUGCGUGACUUGACACAGAGUGGGGGUUACUUUUGGGGCGUUGUUGCACUUGUGCAAAUGUAUGAUAAUUUAAAUGACGCGUCCAAGAGCACGGUGAGACAGCUUGUAGGAUAUAUCACUCUGUGACAGGUUAGUUAAGAUGUUACGAAAAAAAAUUUCAUUGAAGUUGAAUAUUAUAUGUUGUCGUGUAUUUUAAUGAAUAUGCUUGCAAAAUAUAUUUAAUGUUGGAUCUACAAGUAUUUUUCAUCUAUUGGUUCUGCUGUUCUUGCCGAGGAUUAUGAUGAGAGGAGACCGUGUGCAUGUUGAUGGACCUCUGACAAGGCACUGCCCGUUUCCACGUAUAGUAGGCGUUUGGAUAGACUGACCCAUGACGUGGUGUGUUGGAUUUUGUACGGUGACCACUGUUCAUUUAGAGAAUUUGAGGUCAUCUCAUUAUUUUACGGCUAUCUCAGAUGGGGCCCCUUGACAGUCAUUAACCGACCGGAGAGGGUUGUAGGACAAUUUGGCUACAUCCAAACUAUUCCGCCACAUCCUGUUGCGUCAUUGUUCUUUGUUGAAAAAAUUAAUGAUAGAUGGAUGCAGUUUGGUGAGUACAUUACACCUGUAUGACAAUUAUGUGCAGUUUCUGGCCACGGUUCGCUAGAUUACAUUGAUUGGUUUUACUUGAUCUCACACUCAUUCAUGAGUCUGGCACAGCCAGGGGAUCCUCCUAGAGUGCCGCCGGUUCAACAAUAUGAGGAAUUUGUUGAAGCAGAUAUGUAUCAGCAACUGAUGGCAGUAGCGGCACCUAAUGAGGCAGAUGUUGAUGUGCAUCAUGUUCGACAUGCAAUAGAUGACAUUGUAGCAAUUGGUGAUAAGUUGGAGAGGCUACUGAAUCUGAGGAUCAAGGAACAGAAGCAUAUACUGUUGUUGAAAAAUGUGUGGGCAUCGCAAGAAGCUACAUUGCCCAACCAACUGUAGGUCAUAGAUCGAGGCGUAGGCAGUGUACAGACGAUCAUUGAAGUUGUUUUAUUUUUUCCUUGUAUAUGU
Molecule: RNA transcript, 1960 nt
Organism: Glycine soja
Lineage: Eukaryota; Viridiplantae; Streptophyta; Magnoliopsida; Fabales; Fabaceae
Exons: 2
Source: RefSeq, a predicted model, not a curated record